UACAACUACACAUGCCACAAACAUUCAUAAUGCUCUGCUUGGUAGCUCUUAUAACAAUCACGUGAGACCUUCUGACGUCACAAACAUCAGCAUUGAAUUUGUCCUAUUCUCUUUAAAUGACCUGGACAUAAAAAGUCAGACUAUGUCCACAUCCGGAUGGAUGACGGUUAGAUGGGAAGAUCCUCGCCUGGUAUGGACAAAGUCCUCGUACGGCGAUAUAGAAUACAUCUACACGAAACAAAAUAAAAUCUGGCGUCCAGAACUCAUCAUUGACAACUCAGUUGAAGGGAUGGACCCAAUUGGCAAUGA
Saccostrea cuccullata (small rock oyster) is the source of this 309-nucleotide long non-coding RNA. RefSeq lists it as uncharacterized. The record is from RefSeq and is a predicted model, not a curated record. Lineage: Eukaryota; Metazoa; Mollusca; Bivalvia; Ostreida; Ostreidae. The transcript is spliced from 4 exons.